AUUGAACGCUGGCGGCAGGCCUAACACAUGCAAGUCGGACGGUAGCACAGGGGAGCUUGCUCCUCGGGUGACGAGUGACGGACGGGUGAGUAAUGUCUGGGGAUCUGCCCGAUAGAGGGGGAUAACCACUGGAAACGGUGGCUAAUACCGCAUAAUGUCGCAAGACCAGAGAGGGGGACCUUCGGGCCUCUCACUAUCGGAUGAACCCAGAUGGGAUUAGCUAGUAGGCGGGGUAACGGCCCACCUAGGCGACGAUCCCUAGCUGGUCUGAGAGGAUGACCAGCCACACUGGAACUGAGACGCGGUCCAGACUCCUACGGGAGGCAGCAGUGGGGAAUAUUGCACAAUGGGCGCAAGCCUGAUGCAGCCAUGCCGCGUGUAUGAAGAAGGCCUUCGGGUUGUAAAGUACUUUCAGCGGGGAGGAAGGCGAUGUGGUUAAUAACCGCGUCGAUUGACGUUACCCGCAGAAGAAGCACCGGCUAACUCCGUGCCAGCAGCCGCAGUAA
RNAcentral lists this ribosomal RNA (506 nucleotides) under uncultured bacterium. RNAcentral describes it as "partial 16S ribosomal RNA". It matches the Rfam family "Bacterial small subunit ribosomal RNA", at positions 29 to 523 of the family's 1533-position model. The record is from RNAcentral.